This 253-nucleotide ribosomal RNA is filed under the name uncultured bacterium. Its description in RNAcentral is "partial 16S ribosomal RNA". It matches the Rfam family "Bacterial small subunit ribosomal RNA", at positions 524 to 776 of the family's 1533-position model. The record is from RNAcentral.
UACGGGGGGGGCAAGCGUUGUUCGGAAUUACUGGGCGUAAAGGGCUUGUAGGUGGCCAACUAAGUCAGACGUGAAAUCCCUCGGCUUAACCGGGGAACUGCGUCUGAUACUGGAUGGCUUGAGUGUGGGAGAGGGAUGCGGAAUUCCAGGUGUAGCGGUGAAAUGCGUAGAUAUCUGGAGGAACACCGGUGGCGAAGGCGGCAUCCUGGACCAAUACUGACGCUGAGGAGCGAAAGCCAGGGGAGCAAACGGG